ACGGGGUGCAGCAGGCGCGAGACCUCCGCAAUACACGAAAGUGUGACGGGGUUACCCAAAGUGUUCUCUUUUGAACUGUGAUAGGUGAGUAAUGUCCCCUACUAGAAAGGAGAGGGCAAGGCUGGUGCCAGCCGCCGCGGUAAAACCAGCUCUUCAAGUGGUCGGGAUAUUUAUUGGGCUUAAAGUGUCCGUAGCCGGUUUAGCAAGUUCCUGGUAAAAUCGGGUAGCUUAACUAUCUGCAUGCUAGGAAUACUGCUAUACUAGAGGGCGGGAGAGGUCUGAGGUACUACAGGGGUAGGGGUGAAAUCUUAUAAUCCUUGUAGGACCACCAGUGGCGAAGGCGUCAGACUGGAACGCGCCUGACGGUGAGGGACGAAAGCCAGGGGAGCGAACCGGAUUAGAUACCCGGGUAGUCCUGGCCGUAAACGAUGCAUACUAGGUGAUGGCAUGGCCAUGAGCCGUGUCAGUGCCGUAGGGAAACCGUUAAGUGUGCCGCCUGGGAAGUACGGUCGCAAGGCUAAAACUUAAAGGAAUUGGCGGGGGAGCACCACAAGGGGUGAAGCCUGCGGUUCAAUUGGACUCAACGCCGGGAAACUUACCAGGGGAGACAGCAGAAUGAUGGUCAGGUUGACGACCUUACCUAAC
Molecule: ribosomal RNA, 645 nt
Filed under: uncultured archaeon
Lineage: Archaea
Description: bacterial SSU rRNA
Rfam family: Archaeal small subunit ribosomal RNA
Source: RNAcentral